RNAcentral lists this long non-coding RNA (4327 nucleotides) under Oreochromis niloticus (Nile tilapia). RNAcentral describes it as "lncRNA (ENSONIG00000030268.1)". Lineage: Eukaryota; Metazoa; Chordata; Actinopteri; Cichliformes; Cichlidae. The record is from RNAcentral.
CAGGGCAGGAAGCCAGUAAGACAGGCAGGACUCAAAAUGCAGACACAGGCAGAGGCUGAGUGACUUUGCCAAAGAAUACAUUUAUUAGCAAUCACAAAACAGAUAACUGAAACGUGGCAAUACGUGAGUUCAGUAAAAGGUACUGUGGUACAGUUCAGGCAGGGUGUCUGGAUACGUGGUGCUGGGUUCUGAAACAGAGGAGACAGGUGUUAGGUGGGUCUUAGUAGGGAGGACGAGAGAACAGGAGGCAAUGAGUCUCUGCCUUACUUGUAAGUAGGUCAAAGGUAACGUGGCGGAAAAACUGCCAAUGGGUUCCAAGUGAGCGUCCGUAUGGCUAGGAUCCAGAGUUCCAGGAGGUUCGGAGUACAGAGGGGACGGCAGGUGGAGCAGGUAACCAGUAUGGCGAAUGACCAGCUGAGAACAGAUUUCCACCUGUACCCUGCACUGUCCUGGCACUUCGACGCUGCGUGUCCUGUACAGUCCCAGCUUCAGCCUGUAUUUUCGCUUGCGUCUACUGAUGCUGUGUCUGUGGAUCCCACCUCAACACUAAUCUACUAAAUGGAUACAGCUGAUCCCCCCCACUACAUGCCCGCCGCAGCAAACCUCCACCCGCCCAACUCCUGCUAAACAGGUGACAACAGAUUUAAGAGCGACAGGACUCAAUGCUGCUGAAUCUUUGAUUUUAUUUAUUUUUUGCUGUGUUUUACUUGUAAAACAUGAUUUUAUUUUAUAUGCUGGAAAAUGCAGACAAUAGGUUUAAAUAUUGGGCAGUAUGGUGGAACGAAUAAAACAAGUUUUAAAAAGAGACUUUUUCAUUUGAUUACAUUUUAAAUGAUGAUUAUGCAGAAAAAACAGAAUUGGGCUGAAAGGUCUAUUCAGGUUGUGUAUCAUGUUUUUUAAAAGUAACUAAGUAACUAAUUACUUUUGAAAAUAAGUAAUCGGUAAAGUAGCAUGAUUACUUUUUUGGAGACGUAAUCAGUAAUUACUUACUAAUUACUGUUUUCAAGUAACUUGACCAACACUGCUCCUGACAAAUCAAAAGAAAAAAACAUUGAAUGUCACAUUGUAUCUAUGAGGUUUAAUUUGUAUCAUUUUCGCUACAUCCAGCAUGUUCUUUGCAAUUUAUGGGUUCAGUAUGAAUUUGUGCAAUGUUUGUGAAAGCUGGUGUGAAGCAUGCCUCCAGUAACAGUGAUUUCCUGUGAGUCUGCAGCACAACAGGAUGAAUCCUUGUUACUGACAGCAGGACGUCACCAUACAGUACAGUCUAAUGAAGUCCAAGCAGCUUCUUCAUGGGGACACUGCCCUGCACAAAAACACAUGGAGAGGUGAGGAAAGCUUUUUUUUUUACUUAGAGAGAGACACAAAGAGUUGAGAGACCAAAUAUGACACACAGGAGGAAAAAGCAGAAUGAGAUGAUGAAGUUUCAUCAUCAAUGUCCGAUGUGUGACUGAUAAACACUCCUGCACGUCCUGUCUGAAAGGUAAUCUCAAGUCCAAAGGUUUUCAGAUAAGCACAAUUAGACUGAUACACACAUCAAAGGAAAGGAACAGAUUACAUGACUGAUACAAUUCAACUUUAUUUAUAUAGCACAUUUAAAACCAAAGGUACACCAAAGUACUGAUGAAGAAAGAUAAAUCAGGCUUUAAUGUAAAAUCUUAGUUUAGUUUUUAGUUAGUUCCCUUUUUCCUGACCAAUCACAUGUGUGCUCAGCUUGCCUAGGUCUGAAUCUUUCUCAAUGAUAUCUGGCUUGGUUAAUCCAUACAAACAUCACUCAUCAGCAGCAGUCGUCACUGCCUUUGAGUAGCUAUGCUAUGCUGGCAUCGUCCCUGUCAUUGUAUUAGGGUUAGCUAAAAUCUGCCACCUGCAGCUUCAUAUUCCUUAAGAACAGUGUCAUUGUAUCAGUCCUGUCCUUUACCUUGCAGGGAGGAGUGAAUCAGUGUAGAUGAUGAAAGUGCAGGAAUCAGUAAUCCAGUAAACAUUAGCUCAUUAGUAACCUCUUUAUUCUGCUGCAAUCACAGAAACACAGAGGCACCAGUUUUUACAAGUUGCUGCGCUAUUUUCAUUUACACCCGACUGUAUUGACCUGAGGACCAUGCUUCAACAUCUAUCACUGCAGAAUCGCAGUCUGUGCAUGUUCACGCAAAGGGAUGAAAAAAAGGGAGAAGGAGAGUUGGAGAAACUCAAUCCUUCUGUCACCUUUCAGAGUCAGUAACCUCUUUGUGUGUGUGUGUGUUAUUCUGCCAAGAAAAGGAAACUUAAAUCAGCAAUUAAAGUAAAUAAUUAACCAGCUUUACUAUGUAUUAUUAAUGAGACGGCCUAAUUGCCUCCUGCUUUAAAUGGACAGAUAAUGCCUGAAGACAGAUAUAGAUAGAUGGAAGGCACGGGAGCAAAGGUAAAGACAAGCCGAUGAAGAAAUGAGCAGCAGAGGUGGAUGUGAUGAUAAGUGGCAGUAAAAGGAUGAAUAAAUAAAAAAGAAAUAAACCAGAAAAUAAGGUAGAAGUAGAAGAUGUGAGGGAUGAAAAAAGACAAGAAUGUUAAAUGGCCUGUAUUUAUAUAGAGCUGUACUUAGUCCCUAAGGACCCCAAAGUGCUUUACACUACAUUCAGUCAUCCACCCAUUCACACACUGGUGAUGGCGGCUACGUUGUAGCCACAGCCACCCUGGGGCGCACUGACAGAGGCGAGGCUGCCGGACACUGGCGCCACCGGGCCCUCUGACCACCACCAGUAGGCAACGGGUGAAGUGUCUUGCCCAAGGACACAACGACCGAGACUGUUGGAGCCGGGGCUCAAACCGGCAACCUUCUGAUUACAAGGCGAACUGCCAACUCUUGAGCCACGAUCGCCCCAAGACAAAGAGACAUGAGGAGACGAAAACUAACAGCAGGGAAAGACAGAAAGAGUCGGCUAGAAUGAAGAGAAAGGGAUGUGAAAAGUCAUCUUGUGUGCUGACCAUCGCCUGGAUAGUCAUUCAUUUUUGCUUAAAAUAGUGUCGAACAUGAAAUAAUGACUGAUAGUCACAUGUUGGACUGCUUACAUCAAGGUGUCUGUUUAAAUGUUUGGACUAAAAAAUAUCUGAAUUCUUUUCCCCAAAAGAAUCAAUGAAAACAAAGUGAAAUGUAUCAGUGUACUUUUCCUCCUCUUCAGCACUCAGUAUGUCUGUAUCCAAUGUUUCAGACAGGGCUCUGUUAACUGCACCAGUGUGUAUGAGCUAGCAGCAAGCCUUUUAGCAGUAUCUACAUGUUAUUGGAUUAAGAUCAUGUUAACUACAUUAACACCUAACAGAACAUCUCCACACAGCAAAACACACCACCCUUUUAGCUUCUCACAUUAUGUGUGUGUGUGUGUGUGUGUGUGUGUGUGUGUGUGUGUGUGUGUGUGUGUCUGAUAAACACUUUAAAGUUCAAACACCAGCAGCUCAAACCUGACAAAAUCACACACCAAUCCCUCCUCUCUUCAGAAAAACAUAUCAUGUAACUGUGACCCGAGCCAUGAGUGUAAUGUAUGUCAGGAGAAACUCUGGAUUUAAUCCAUCUUGUGAAAAACACUUUUUUCCCCAAAAUUUUGGUGUUGUUUCAUAAUGUGUCGUUGUCAGUGCUAAAAGAAAAUCAUUCAAACUUAAUAAUGAGAAAGGAGAUUAUUGUCUUACUCACCUUGACUCUGCCGGGUGCUUUUCAUGCUGGUAUCAGAGAGGAAUGAGUAUGGGCAUCUCUUCAGAUCUUGAUAAGUCGGCAGAUGUAACCUAUGCACUUUAGACACAGCUGUGGAAACUGAAGACAAGCAUGUUAAUCUUUAUGACCGAGGACUGAGCAGAGACAUUAAGAGAGAUAUGACGAGGUGUCGUAAAAUCUGAGCGAUACAGAGUAAAAGUCUAAACUCACAUGCACAAGUUUUGAGUACACAACUUUGUGAUCAUGUUAAAGCUAAAGAUGAUUUUCAACAUUAUUAAUUUUAACUACAAAAUUUAAUUUAAUUCUUAUUUCUGUUAAAACAAACUUCCCCAUCUUACAGGACAUCAUAAGUAUGCGGCACAUUUCAGGGUGCUUAAGUACUGCGUAAGCAAUUUGCUGCAGAAAAUAUGCAUAAGAAGGAUAGUGAAUAUAAUGGAUAAAGUAUGCUGAAACUGGAGCUUCUAUGGAGAAGGAAAAGAGAAAGACCACAGAGGAAGUUCAGGGACAUUUUUGGGAAGUAAGGAAUUUGCUCAUCAAUAAAACUUGUUUUAUUAGUCUUUUUGUAGUCAACUGUAUUCCAUAAAAAUAAUACAAAAAUCAACAGUUGCGUGUUUUAACAGAUUUUGUAUUUAUAGGAAUAUUGUGUUAAAACAUCAC